RNAcentral lists this transfer RNA (63 nucleotides) under Scelio sp. ZJUH_2016028. RNAcentral's name for it is "tRNA-Met". Lineage: Eukaryota; Metazoa; Arthropoda; Insecta; Hymenoptera; Scelionidae. The record is from RNAcentral.
AUAAAAAUAGACUAAAUAAAGUCAUUAAACUCAUAAUUUAAUAAUAUAGAAAUAUUUUUUAUU